The sequence is a regulatory RNA element, 230 nucleotides long. It matches the Rfam family "T-box leader". From Rfam's summary of the family: Uncharged tRNA acts as the effector for transcription antitermination of genes in the T-box leader family. T-boxes are found upstream of many aminoacyl-tRNA synthetase genes and some amino acid biosynthetic genes usually in Gram-positive bacteria. The record is from Rfam.
UUGACUGCGAUGAUGAAGAGGAGUAUAUCAUUUUCUUUUUUUAGAGAGGGAGAUUCAAGGGCUGAAAGGUCUCCUACUUAGAAGUGGUGGAAGGUAGCUUUGGAGCUUUUGGCCUGAAAGUGGAGUAGGGUCAAACGGUUGUGCCGUUAUAACAUUUGAGAGCCGUGGGCAAGUAUGUUUUGCCUGUGGAAUUAAGGUGGUAUCGCGAAUUUGUGACCCUCGUCCUUAUU